This 401-nucleotide long non-coding RNA is filed under the name Ananas comosus (pineapple). RNAcentral's name for it is "long non-coding RNA (ACOM_LNC011275)". Lineage: Eukaryota; Viridiplantae; Streptophyta; Magnoliopsida; Poales; Bromeliaceae. The record is from RNAcentral.
AGUUGGAAUGCUUUUCUGAUAGGAAAUAUAUAGUUUUGAUCAGAUAUUUUUAAAUUAAAAUACUUUUGUAUUUUUUAAGUAAAAAAUAUACGAAAUUUAUGUGAGCUGUAGAUCAUUUAGAUUUACUAUUCAAUUUUUCAGUAUUUUGGUUUUACCAUCAAACAUUUUAUUUCAUUUGAUUUGAAUUAGUCAACUGUAUUUUGACUCUAGAAUUUAAACUAAUUAUUUACUUUAAUAAAUUUAUAGUGUUGAGAACUAUAUAAUAUUUUUUAAGUAAAAUUAUGAAGAUAAAUGAUACAUUCAAAUUUUAAAAUUAAAGUAUUAAUUAUUGAUUCAAAUAAAAUAAAUUAAAAAUUAGAGAGGAAAAUUAAAAUUUUUAAAAAUUAAAAAAUUCAAUAAAU